UGCACUGUGUGGUAUCUGCAUUCAGCAGUUUUUUCUGCUGGGAGUUCAAAGGACAAUGUUAAUAUAAAUUCAGUAUCUGGUAUCAUUGUUUUUCUUGGCUUUGUACAUGUUAAACCUGGUAUUUUUACUGAUACAGUA
Small nucleolar RNA from Balaenoptera musculus (blue whale), 138 nucleotides. Lineage: Eukaryota; Metazoa; Chordata; Mammalia; Artiodactyla; Balaenopteridae. The record is from Ensembl.